ACCGAGACUUAGAGUCACAUCUAGAUAUUGACCGUUAUCGUGGUGUGCUAUAGUCCUCGGAGAGUAAUGACUAACUUCUAUUCACUGACUGUCCUUUUCAGUAGUACAGUCAGCCACCAGGUUAGUAACAGAG
This is a small nucleolar RNA of Hemicordylus capensis (graceful crag lizard), 133 nucleotides long. RefSeq annotates it as small nucleolar RNA SNORA3/SNORA45 family. The record is from RefSeq and is a predicted model, not a curated record. The transcript has a single exon. NCBI's taxonomy places the organism in Eukaryota, Metazoa, Chordata, Lepidosauria, Squamata, Cordylidae.